RNAcentral lists this ribosomal RNA (477 nucleotides) under Candidatus Scalindua brodae. RNAcentral's name for it is "bacterial SSU rRNA". It matches the Rfam family "Bacterial small subunit ribosomal RNA", at positions 365 to 832 of the family's 1533-position model. The record is from RNAcentral. Lineage: Bacteria; Pseudomonadati; Planctomycetota; Candidatus Brocadiia; Candidatus Brocadiales; Candidatus Scalinduaceae.
UUCGCAAUGCCCGAAAGGGUGACGAAGCGACGCCGCGUGGGUGAGGAAGGCCUUCGGGUUGUAAAGCCCUGUCAGGAGUUAAGAAAUGUAGGUGUGCUAAUAUCGCAUUUACUUGACGAAGGCUCCAAAGGAAGUCACGGCUAACUCUGUGCCAGCAGCCGCGGUAAUACAGAGGUGGCAAGCGUUGUUCGGAAUUAUUGGGCGUAAAGAGCACGUAGGUGGGUUUGUAAGUCAGAUGUGAAAGCCUCCUGUUCAACGGGAGAAUUGCAUCUGAAACUACUGAUCUUGAGUAUAGGAGGGGAGAAUGGAACUUCUGGUGGAGCGGUGAAAUGCGUAGAUAUCAGAAGGAACGCCGGCGGCGAAAGCGAUUCUCUGGCCUAUUACUGACACUCAGUGUGCGAAAGCUAGGGGAGCAAACGGGAUUAGAUACCCCGGUAGUCCUAGCCGUAAACGAUGGGCACUAAGUAGAGGGGUUUU